UACGUAGGGUGCGAGCGUUAAUCGGAAUUACUGGGCGUAAAGCGUGCGCAGGCGGUUUUGUAAGCCAGAUGUGAAAGCCCCGGGCUCAACCUGGGAAUGGCAUUUGGGACUGCAAGGCUUGAGUGCGGCAGAGGAGACUGGAAUUCCUGGUGUAGCGGUGAAAUGCGCAGAUAUCAGGAGGAACACCGGUGGCGAAGGCGGGUCUCUGGGCAGUAACUGACGCUGAGGAGCGAAAGCGUGGGGAGCGAACAGG
RNAcentral lists this ribosomal RNA (253 nucleotides) under uncultured bacterium. RNAcentral's name for it is "partial 16S ribosomal RNA". It matches the Rfam family "Bacterial small subunit ribosomal RNA", at positions 524 to 776 of the family's 1533-position model. The record is from RNAcentral.